Molecule: long non-coding RNA, 802 nt
Organism: Oryzias melastigma (Indian medaka)
Lineage: Eukaryota; Metazoa; Chordata; Actinopteri; Beloniformes; Adrianichthyidae
Exons: 2
Source: RefSeq, a predicted model, not a curated record
CUCAAAUGCACACAGGCUAACAGCUGUUAGGUACCACAACUGUCAUGAAGUCAUAAUGGGGCAUUGACACCGGAUGAGAUUCGCACGAUAUUUUCAGAGGAAUCGUGUGAGGCUGAAACAACAACGCCCUACCCUCAGUCGGCCUCGGAGCAUCGCUCUGCAGGGAGCCGACGGGGGAGUGCCGGCCCUCCUGCGUCAGCCUGAUGUUCGCUUUCUCGCCCUGAACCGCCAACAGCGACUUGGAGCAGCUUAAGAAGGGAGGAGUGCUGCAGACCACUUCCUGUGGAAGCAGAGAGGAAGUCGUUGUUUUCAUGACCAUCAAAAUAAAAGAAAAUCUGAUCAUUUAAAGAUGAAAGGAUCUAGGAUGGAAACCAUUGAAGGAGUACUGGCUGUAGCUGAGAACUGGACCGAGUGAGUGUGACGUCAUCCAGGGCUCAACUUUUUAAAAAAAAAUAUGGAGCACAUUUAUUGUGGAUUAACUUUGCUUGUGUUUACUGAUGUCGAAACAAUUUUAAAAAAUAUACAGUGCUCUUCUCGUUAUUGCUAAUGUCAGACUCUUUUUUUUUUCUUUUUUUAAUAUUACGGAUAAGUUUGUUUAUUUUUCCAUAGAAGUCUAUGAGAAAUAGCAGGUACUUCCUGUUUGGAAUGCCAUGGGGGAGGAGUCACUCAGUCCAGUUCUCAUAUAGUGUCAAAAAGCAUGAAGAUGACAGAUGAACAUCUGUGUUUCAACAAACAUUCUACAACCAUCUUAAUAUUAUUUUAACCUGAUAAUCUUCUUCAAUCUGGGAUUUAAAAAAAAAAA